AAGGGCAGCCUCAUCUGGGAGAAAUUUCUUCAGUCAUUUGAGAGCUACAUAAUCUGCUUGCAUAACUUGGAGAUAUUUCGGGCUCAGUUGCAGACCACCAUGAUAAAGCAAAUUCACAAUAAAAAGAGAAAACAUGAAGGUUGUGAGAUGAAAAAUGGUCUGCUGUGUUGGAAGGACUGACAGGAGACUCAGGCAUUUAGGAUAACUAAUCUAACCGAUCAUAUUCCAAGACACCGAAUAUGAAAUUUUUGCAGGCAUUCCCAGAAAAUAGCUGGGUUUGACGUUCUUCUGCUUCCUCCUUUCACGUGAUCAAAUGCUUCCACCUUCUGUGGAUCUCCAAAGGAUUGUAAAAUUCUAUGAUUCAGAAUUGAGCAUGGGAAGCAGGUAUGUUGGCUCAUCUACCCUAGUAGAUCAUGGCCCAUGACUUUCCAUGGGUGCAAGGCAUUCUCCAUAAGAGUAUUUCCAACAAUAUGUAUUCCCAGUGUUUCAAAAUCUCUUUAAAAUUUUUGCCAAACUCAGAAUGCAAAUGUGUGCAUUGUGUUAGAACCUUCUACCCAGAUGGAUGACUGGCCAAUUCCCAGUUCCCAUGGUGACUUUAAUAAAAUGCAACGAGAUUGGCAAACCGUUACUUUCAGCAGUGAGCCACCAUUACAAGCUUCUGAUGAAGAAUCUAACAUAAUUGGAAAGUUAAACUGAGUUCAGGAGAAAAUAGAAGAAGAUGUAUCAGGAACAGUGAAUGCAGACAACUAUUUCAAAAAAUAUUUUUAUAAAGGGGAGCAGAAAAAGGGAGCUAUAUUUGAAGGGUGGUGCGAUUAAGAAAGUAAAAAUAAAUAUGUUGAACAACUCCAGCCCUUAGACUAAGGAGUAUUAUUAUAUGAAGAGCCAAGAAUAUGAAGCUACAUCUCUACCAAAAUUUAAAUUAAAAAUUUAUUAUAUUCUGGGAGUGGGGAUGGAGAGAAGCAGAUUGGGAAUCACAAAUACUAGUGCCAGCAUUAAAGAUUCCAGAUCUUCAAGGGUGAGGAUCCUUAGAGCAUCCCUAGUUAAAAUCCAGUUUGGAUUUUGGUUCUGAGCAAAAUGAUACCCUCUUUGACAAUUUAUUGC
Molecule: long non-coding RNA, 1101 nt
Organism: Aethalodelphis obliquidens (Pacific white-sided dolphin)
Lineage: Eukaryota; Metazoa; Chordata; Mammalia; Artiodactyla; Delphinidae
Exons: 7
Source: RefSeq, a predicted model, not a curated record